Molecule: long non-coding RNA, 1437 nt
Organism: Tripterygium wilfordii
Lineage: Eukaryota; Viridiplantae; Streptophyta; Magnoliopsida; Celastrales; Celastraceae
Exons: 3
Source: RefSeq, a predicted model, not a curated record
GGAAACAGGUGAGUCCUAGGAUCUCGAUGUGCAAACUUAUAUGUUAUCAGUGGAUUUUGUUGCAUAUUUUGUUGUUGAUUUUGUUGAGUCUAUAUGUUAUUGGUUCUUUACUAAAGUAUUACUAGGAAAUCGUUAUGGAGGAUUACUAUAGAGAGUGUGAGCCUGUGGAGAUAAACCAUUGUUGCAAAUUAGGGAGUAGAGAAUGUUGGAUGGGUAACAGGGUUAAAAAGAACCUUAUGUUGUGGGGAUGUGGUGGAAUAGACAAUUAUGUGGAGAGUGGCAAUCAUUUGUUUCUCACGUAAAGUGGAUUGCUGAAAGUUGUGAUUUUGUGGAGCCAUUUACAAGGUUAAGCUGAAAGGAAAUUUUGAUGGUUCCUUGAGGUGGAAGGACUGUCUACAAAAUUAGAUGUCAACAUGCUAGCCUUCUUCAAGUUGAGGGUGCUAAUAGAAAGUACUUCUCUUGAGGCUAAUAGAGGGAUGAAUUCACUAAAAGAAAGUUAGGACUUGAUGAAAUAUGCACGAAUGCUGCUAUUUAGGUCACCAUAUUCGGCUUCGUGGAUGGAUUUUUGGCACUUAUAUGUUCAGCUGUAGUUUCCUCUGGUUGUUAGUUUACAUACAAGAUAUUUAACCAAACUUGUACUCGAUAUUCGGUUACGUAUUUUGUGUUCAUGAUUGCUAUUUACAUUACCUUGGUUUUCUUUUAAUGGCAUUCGUCUCUCAUUUAUCGUUGAUACUUCCUUCUAUUUUCCUUUUCUGAUUGAUUUAUCAUAUCUACCUUUUUUACUUUUCAGCUUAUGAUUGCCCCUGAAAUUUUGAACUGAGAUUUCAUCAAUGUCACUGAUUAAGGCAGUGGAGGUGGAGUUUUGAAUUUUGAUAUCGAUAGAAUAAAAAAGAGAAGCUCUUCGUACUGCCUUCGAGAAUUACAGGAAAUAUGGUAGGUUCUACGUUAUUAAUCCACGGAAGCGGAUCUGGAACCAAAUCUACUUUAUGUUGAUAUGUAAAUUAGCAGAGCUGUAUGAUUCAUCAAGGUUUACAGAGUUUAGUCAUGUUUAAGAAACCACACUUACGAGACUUUUUACCUUGGUCCAAAUCCGGCAAGUCUUAAUGAAUUACAUUAUCAGAGUUAUUGGGUUGAGUCUCUUGAAGGUAACAGUAGUUUUACAUACAGAGAUGUUGGAACAUGAAACUGCUGGAGCUGGUUGUAGCUGGAUACAAAGCAUACAUGUAAAUGUAUAUAUAUUGGAGAGGGAGAGAGUACAGUGAAGCUCAAACUGAAUAUUAUUUUGUACAGAAGGGUAUCUACAAAAUACCAUACAAGGCAGUAACAGGCUGAGACAUCCAGGAAAUUACAUACUGUCUUUGCUAAAAUCAGCCAUGUGCACUGUCCUUGGUGUAAAGCUAAUUAAAAUCUUAUUUACCCAUGAAUUUUGAUGGAGCA